AUCUAACAUACAUGUUGUUGGUUUAGAUGAUUUAACAAAGUUAUACAAUUCUUAUUGUCCUAUAGCAGAGAAUGGCUGGUUUGAUGUAUGAUGGUGGUCCAUAACUGUAUAAAGCAAUUGGAACUGAGGUGCUUCAUACAUUUAUAAGAAUCAUCCUGUGAACCUAUGUGAACAUACAGUAAAAUGAACACUGGGUUUUAUCUUUAGCAGUCAUUCAGGAAGGCAGUGGCCAAAGAGCGCAAGAAGAGUGCUGAUAGAGAGAGAGAGAAGGCUGUUUCAGGCAUGUCACAGAUGUGCGGUGGACAUUAAGCCUUUAUUUGCAAUUGGACUCUAAGUCACUACUCCUCCCUUAAGAAGUUUAUCCGCCUGUACAUGUAUUUGCGCUACAGUCACAAGAGGGGGGAUGAAGACAACGCAAAGUGGGUGGUUUAUUUGAGAAGUGUUUGGUUUAAAAGAGCGAGAGAAAGAAAGAGAGAGAGACCGAUAAAGUUGAGGCAUGCAAGGAAGUCAGAUUACAGCACUCUAUAAACAUCUUACAGUGCUUACCAAGACAUCUUACCAGUGAACAAGAGCCUUGUGAAGACAGAGAGGAGGAUAUAACACAUCUUUGUACUCCUUUUCUUUCAACGAGAAGAAUGAAACCUCAAAUAAAGAGAACGUUUUCAAACUUCUUCUUUGAAUACGAAACUCCUCGACAGGUUCUGGUCAGGAACAAAAGAGUUGCAGUUGUGUGCCGAAUCAUCCAAAUGGGUGUUCUAGCUUACAUCAUUGGGUGGGUGUUCAUGUAUGAGAAAGGCUACCAGAUAGUAGAUAUUGCCAUAAGCUCCAUCUUCACCAAGAUGAAGGGAGUGUCCUUCACAAAUAUCAGCGAAAAGGAGCGGAUAUGGGAUGCAGCUGAUUAUGUUUUUCCUGAACAGGGUGACUCGUCUUUUGUUGUGAUGACGAACUACAUUGCCACUGUGGGACAGAAACAGGACAAAUGUCCUGAGCUGCCAGAUGGGAAGAACAAAUGCACUUCUGACGCACACUGUGAUGAGGGCAAAUACAAACGUAUGGGAAAUGGACACAUGACGGGCAGGUGUAUAAACGAUACAAGUACUUGUGAGAUCUACUCCUGGUGUCCAGUUGAAGAUGACCGUAAAAUACCAGACCCUCCAGUCCUGCUGACAGCAGAAAACUACACACUGUUCAUCAAAAACUCCAUUACCUUUCGCCAGUUUAAUGUAGUAAGGAGUAACUUGGUGGAGAGUGUGAAUCAGAGUUACAUCAAUACAUGUUUGUAUCAUCCCAAGACUGAUCCACUGUGUCCUAUCUUCAGACUGGGAGACAUUGUUGAGCGUUCUGGGCUCAGUUUCUCAGAGAUAGCUCGUGUGGGUGGUGCUAUAGGAGUCCUCAUCGACUGGGACUGCAAUCUGGACCUGAGUAUCAGACACUGCAAACCAAAGUAUGAAUUCUAUGGUCUUUAUGGAACGGGGAAAAAUGAGGACAAAGAAGAGAAACCAUCAUUGGGAUACAAUUUUAGAUAUGCUAAAUAUUAUGUGGAGAAUGAGGUGGAAAAGAGAACGCUAAUGAAGGUGUUUGGUGUACGGAUAGACAUCAUUGUUCAUGGACGGGCAGGAAAAUUUGAUAUCAUCCCUACGUUGACGGCUAUAGGCUCAGGAGUAGGAAUCUUUGGAGUGGCAACCGUUGUGUGCGAUAUGCUGCUCCUAUAUUUAGUUUCAAAGCGAGAUUUCUACAAAAACAUGAAAUUCAAGCAUACAGAAAUCGAGGAAGAGUGUCCUUAUGGAAACAGCCAGGAUUUAACUGUAAUUAAAAUGUCCAAAGCACAUCUGAGGGAGUGUAUGUGAGUGGAAAAGUAUAAUUACGUCAGUAAGUAUCUUACUUUUGAUCUGUAUGCACAUAGGCAGUAUGCAAGACUACUGUAUUCAAGUCCAUGCAACACCACGGCUUCCUGUAGACAUCUCUGCAGUGAUAGUUACCCUAGCAACGCAGCACAUUGACCAUACUUGUUUCUUAUAUAAAGAAAGGAAAGUGAGGCCACAUCUUAACCUCCAGGACUCCCACUCUAGCAGCCUUCUGAGAAAGAAACACAUUGGGGUUGAUAGGAGCAUGGGAAAUGAUCUCCGAUAUGUAUUUGCCCUUCCACAGAAGCCAGCCUUGUCUCAGUCAAAGACAGAAAGAGAUCUGCCAAAGGAGUGAAGUCUGGAUGGCUGCCAUGACGACUGACUACUGCACUGAAGAGAGAGAGAGAAAGAGAGAAACCCCCUCAACACUGGAGCUUCAACAAGACGGCUGGGAGACUUGACACAGAACUGUCAGACAUCACUUUUCCUUUCUAAAUAACAUUUCCUUCCCAAACUACUGAGGAAAGACAUUAAAUCAGUGUUAUGAUUUAAGACAUAACUAAUACCCACUGAAUGUGUUCGUAUUGAGAGGCUUAGGACUGUAAAGGUACACAAUUGUAUGAGGGUUUUGAGGUCUUUACAAGGUUCCCAAAGUUUUUGGCAAUUACCAUGUAAUGUCUGGAUAUGUCACCCAUAUUCAACUCUGGAUAAUGUAUCACCUUAAAACGAUUAAAAUUAAUAUUUUUAUUUACUGAUAGGUGUUUUGUAAAGGUGUUGUUGUUGUUUUUGUAGCAAGUCAAACUGUUGAGCCUACAAUUUUUGUGAAUUUUUUUUUAGAUGGUUAGUCAACCAUAUGAGGUUGAAACUAACCAGCUCUGAAAGACAGAAAGGUGAGUGAUUUAAGCCUUUUGUUUUAGCUCAUUCACAAAACACUGAGCCAAAAAACAUAGGAUGCUCAAAGGAUCUCAAAGGUCUGUUAUUUUAUUAUUAGUAGACAGCCGUCUGGACUACUUGAUUUUAAUGCAGCAUUCAAUGAUCAAAUAUAUCAGAAACAAUGACACAUUCCGACCACUUAUCCAGGAAACUCUUAGCUGUGCUUGUGUUCUGUCUCUAAAAUUAUUACUCAAAUCAAUAUUCCAUGCCCAUAUAUUUAUUUGUUU
This is an RNA transcript of Sinocyclocheilus grahami, 3004 nucleotides long. It is a transcript of the gene named P2X purinoceptor 1-like, with no coding region annotated. Lineage: Eukaryota; Metazoa; Chordata; Actinopteri; Cypriniformes; Cyprinidae. The transcript has 13 exons. The record is from RefSeq and is a predicted model, not a curated record.